GACGAACGCUGGCGGCGUGCCUAACACAUGCAAGUCGAACGGAGUUGACCUUCGGGUUAACUUAGUGGCGAACGGGUGAGUAACGCGUGAGAAACCUGCCUUUCAGUGGGGGACAACAGUUGGAAACGACUGCUAAUACCGCAUAAGCCCACACUACCGCAUGGUAGAGUGAGAAAAGAUUUUAUCGCUUUAAGAUGAGCUCGCGUCUGAUUAGCUAGUUGGUGGGGUAACGGCCUACCAAGGCAACGAUCAGUAGCCGGACUGAGAUGUUGAUCGGCCACAUUGGGACUGAGACACGGCCCAGACUCCUACGGGAGGCAGCAGUGGGGAAUAUUGCACAAUGGGGGAAACCCUGAUGCAGCGACGCCGCGUGAGGGAAGAA
RNAcentral lists this ribosomal RNA (382 nucleotides) under uncultured bacterium. RNAcentral describes it as "bacterial SSU rRNA". It matches the Rfam family "Bacterial small subunit ribosomal RNA", at positions 28 to 412 of the family's 1533-position model. The record is from RNAcentral.